RNAcentral lists this ribosomal RNA (500 nucleotides) under uncultured bacterium. Its description in RNAcentral is "partial 16S ribosomal RNA". It matches the Rfam family "Bacterial small subunit ribosomal RNA", at positions 29 to 523 of the family's 1533-position model. The record is from RNAcentral.
AUUGAACGCUGGCGGAAUGCUUUACACAUGCAAGUCGAACGGCAGCACGGGGGCAACCCUGGUGGCGAGUGGCGAACGGGUGAGUAAUACAUCGGAACGUGCCCAGUCGUGGGGGAUAACGUAGCGAAAGCUACGCUAAUACCGCAUACGAUCUACGGAUGAAAGCGGGGGAUCGCAAGACCUCGCGCGAUUGGAGCGGCCGAUGGCAGAUUAGGUAGUUGGUGGGGUAAAGGCUCACCAAGCCGACGAUCUGUAGCUGGUCUGAGAGGACGACCAGCCACACUGGGACUGAGACACGGCCCAGACUCCUACGGGAGGCAGCAGUGGGGAAUUUUGGACAAUGGGCGCAAGCCUGAUCCAGCCAUUCCGCGUGCAGGAUGAAGGCCCUCGGGUUGUAAACUGCUUUUGUACGGAACGAAACGGCUCUCUCUAAUACAGGGGGCUAAUGACGGUACCGUAAGAAUAAGCACCGGCUAACUACGUGCCAGCAGCCGCCGUAA